RNAcentral lists this long non-coding RNA (201 nucleotides) under Pan troglodytes (chimpanzee). Its description in RNAcentral is "long non-coding RNA NONPTRT003103". Lineage: Eukaryota; Metazoa; Chordata; Mammalia; Primates; Hominidae. The record is from RNAcentral.
CUCUUGACCUCCCAGCUCAAACGAUCCUCCCACCUCAGCCUUCUGAGUAGCUGGAACUACAGGUGAGCUCCAACACACCUGGCCAAUUGUUACAAAGUUUUAAAGAAAGAACAGGCCAGGCGUGGUGGGGCCGCUGGGGUUUGGGAGCCAGGCUUUGCACCCCUCCUCAGGCAUGAAUUCUUCUCUUGAGAACGGUUUAGA